Pristis pectinata (smalltooth sawfish) is the source of this 401-nucleotide long non-coding RNA. RefSeq lists it as uncharacterized. The record is from RefSeq and is a predicted model, not a curated record. The transcript is spliced from 3 exons. NCBI's taxonomy places the organism in Eukaryota, Metazoa, Chordata, Chondrichthyes, Rhinopristiformes, Pristidae.
GACCCAUGUGAUCACUGACUGGGUCUGUCCCUGCCAGUAUAAAUUCAUCCCGUAGAUUAGUUCGAGUUGCACAAACUUCAGGACAAGGUGUGAGUGAUACUUGCACUGACGAUUCCAUUGCUCACCCAUCAUCACAGCGCGGACCAGCAGACACACAAAACUGCAGCAUCUUCCCUUCAUCACAGGAGUGAUUAAUUGAAAUGUUUCACCUGGAAAGAGAACACUGAGUUAUACGUUUGAUAGACGCAUAACUACAGAACUGAAAUUAAUUUGCCUGACCUGAUGGAUUCCUGCUGCCUUGCCCCAGAUGACUCCGUCCCUGCUGUGGCUGACACUUACGACACGAUGCAACAUCUCGACAUCUGGCACCAGGAGGUCCCUGUAGUGGGAGCAGCUGAAAG